RNAcentral lists this transfer RNA (70 nucleotides) under Attacus atlas. RNAcentral describes it as "tRNA-Cys". The record is from RNAcentral. Lineage: Eukaryota; Metazoa; Arthropoda; Insecta; Lepidoptera; Saturniidae.
AUAAGUCUUAUAGUCAAUAAUGAUAUAAAAUUGCAAAUUUUAAGGGAUAAAAAGUAAAUUAUUAAGGCUU